This 497-nucleotide ribosomal RNA is filed under the name uncultured bacterium. RNAcentral describes it as "partial 16S ribosomal RNA". It matches the Rfam family "Bacterial small subunit ribosomal RNA", at positions 28 to 507 of the family's 1533-position model. The record is from RNAcentral.
GAUGAACGCUGGCGGCGUGCCUAAUACAUGCAAGCCGAGCGAACGGACGAGAAGCUUGCUUCUCUGAUGUUAGCGGCGGACGGGUGAGUAACACGUGGAUAACCUACCUAUAAGACUGGGAUAACUUCGGGAAACCGUAGCUAAUACCGGAUAAUAUUUUGAACCGCAUGGUUCAAAAGUGAAAGACGGUCUUGCUGUCACUUAUAGAUGGAUCCGCGCUGCAUUAGCUAGUUGGUAAGGUAACGGCUUACCAAGGCAACGAUGCAUAGCCGACCUGAGAGGGUGAUCGGCCACACUGGAACUGAGACACGGUCCAGACUCCUACGGGAGGCAGCAGUAGGGAAUCUUCCGCAAUGGUCGAAAGCCUGACGGAGCAACGCCGCGUGAGUGAUGAAGGUCUUCGGAUCGUAAAACUCUGUUAUUAGGGAAGAACAUAUGUGUAAGUAACUGUGCACAUCUUGACGGUACCUAAUCAGAAAGCCACGGCUAACUACGUG